GUUCUCUUGUGUUAAGUCGUGUGCCUAAAAGCAGCGUUGAUUAUAUCAUUCGUUAAAAUUAAUACGCAAUAAGCUUCGGUUCUAGAACGAGCCGAAAAUGCCGGGUUUUAGUAGCGUUGGCACAUUUAAAAUUUUCAUCGGUAAUUUAGCCGAUAAGACAUCAAAUGCUGACAUUAAACCAUUGUUUGAAAAAUAUGGGAAGGUUGUAGAAUGUGACGUGGUCAAAAAUUAUGGAUUUGUGCAUAUGGAAAAUGAAGAAGCAGGGAGGAAUGCAAUACAAAAUUUGAAUGGACAUAUAGUCCAUGGGCAGCCAAUUAAAUGCGAGGCUGCAAAGAGUCGUAAAGGCCCCAAUACCCCAACAACAAAAAUAUUUGUUGGCAAUCUCACAGAUAAUACAAAAGCACCCCAAGUGCGCGAACUCUUUGCCAAAUAUGGCACAGUUGUAGAAUGUGAUAUUGUCAGAAAUUAUGGAUUCGUACAUCUAGAAGCAACAGGUGAUGUCAACGAUGCCAUCAAGGAACUGAAUGGACAAAUGGUGGAUGGUCAGCCGAUGAAGGUUCAAAUUUCUACAAGCAGAGUACGACAAAGGCCAGGAAUGGGAGAUCCUGAACAGUGCUACCGAUGCGGUCGCGGCGGCCAUUGGUCCAAGGAAUGCCCGAAAGGAGGAAUGGGAGGAGGUCCGGAUAGAAAUGGAUACAGAGACCGAAUGUUUGGACGCGACCCGUAUCCUCCACCGCCGCCACCACCGUUCCUUCGGGAUCGGUUAAUGGGUGGUGGCCGCUUUGGAGAUUACGAAAGCUACUAUGACAGGAGAGGCUUCGAGGACACCAGGGAUCUCUACGAGAGGCGGUUUACGGGUAUGACAGGGCCCUGUGACAUGGGAAGUUCCAUGUGCGGGCUUGACUUUCCACCAAUGACAAUGCCACCUCUACCCCCAAGACGAGAUCCAAUGCCUCCUAUGCCUCCUCUAGGUAUGGGAUCCAUGCGCGACACUGGCUUCUCCCGUGGUAACGAGUAUGGCAUGUUCAGCCGCCGAUCACCCCCCCCGAGUGGCAACAAUGGCCGGUUCAGUGCACCUCAGGCUGCGUACCAUCUUUGUCCAUGAAUGCGGGCAACCCUAGAGAGACAGUCCCGGGCCAGCGUUCAAAUCGUGCAAGAACCGGGAUUACGAGGGCCAUCGCCGUCGCGCCGGUUCGCACCAUACUAAAUCGUCGCGUCGGGCUCGGAUCGGUCUCUGUCGGUCUGUCUCUCUGUGUGUCGGGUCUGUGUCUGUCGCUAGCAGGAAGCCUCGGGACCGAGAUACUCUUGGCCGUCUAUGUCUCUGUCGAUCUGCACGCGCGAAGAACUACCAUUCGCCCGCUCAAUCGGAAAACAUGUAUUCUCCCCGUAAUGCGCUAUUUAGACGAGAAUCAUCCCUCGCCCAAUCUCCCAAAAUAAAAAAAAAAAAUAAAAAAAAAAAAGAAAAAAACGAAA
This 1473-nucleotide unclassified non-coding RNA is filed under the name Eufriesea mexicana. RNAcentral describes it as "rNA-binding protein lark, transcript variant X2". Lineage: Eukaryota; Metazoa; Arthropoda; Insecta; Hymenoptera; Apidae. The record is from RNAcentral.